RNAcentral lists this ribosomal RNA (468 nucleotides) under uncultured bacterium. RNAcentral describes it as "partial 16S ribosomal RNA". It matches the Rfam family "Bacterial small subunit ribosomal RNA", at positions 28 to 507 of the family's 1533-position model. The record is from RNAcentral.
GACGAACGCUGGCGGCGUGCUUAACACAUGCAAGUCGAACGGAAAGGCCCUGCUUUUGUGGUGUGCUCGAGUGGCGAACGGGUGAGUAACACGUGAGUAACCUGCCCUUGACUUUGGGAUAACUUCAGGAAACGGGGGCUAAUACCGGAUAGGAGCUCCCGUUGCAGGGUGGGGGUUGGAAAGUCUCGGCCGUCGUGGAUGGACUGGCGGCUUAUCAGCUUGUUGGUGGGGUAGUGGCUUACCAAGGCAUUGACGGGUCGCCGGCCUGAGAGGGUGACCGGCCACAAUGGGACUGAGAUACGGCCCAGACUCCUACGGGGGGCAGCAGGGGGGAAUAUUACACGAUGAGCGGAAGCCUGAUGCAGCGACGCCGCGUUCGGGAUGACGGCCUUCGGGUUGUAAACCGCUUUCGCCUGUGACGAAGCGGGAGUGACGGUAAUGGGUAAAGAAGCACCGGCUAACUACGUG